This 253-nucleotide ribosomal RNA is filed under the name uncultured bacterium. RNAcentral's name for it is "partial 16S ribosomal RNA". It matches the Rfam family "Bacterial small subunit ribosomal RNA", at positions 524 to 776 of the family's 1533-position model. The record is from RNAcentral.
UACGUAGGGUGCGCGCGUUGUCCGGAAUUACUGGGCGUAAAGAGCUCGUAGGUGGUUUGUCGCGUUGUUCGUGAAAUCUCACGGCUUAACUGUGAGCGUGCGGGCGAUACGGGCAGACUAGAGUACUGCAGGGGAGACUGGAAUUCCUGGUGUAGCGGUGGAAUGCGCAGAUAUCAGGAGGAACACCGGUGGCGAAGGCGGCCUGCUGGGCAGUAGCUGACACUGAGGCGCGACAGCGUGGGGAGCAAACAGG